RNAcentral lists this long non-coding RNA (267 nucleotides) under Cricetulus griseus (Chinese hamster). RNAcentral describes it as "lncRNA (ENSCGRG00000025728.1)". The record is from RNAcentral. Lineage: Eukaryota; Metazoa; Chordata; Mammalia; Rodentia; Cricetidae.
GGUGACGCAGGCACCAAAAUUAAAUAUAGCAGAUCUCGUCACCUCCGCUCUGAGCAUCACAGUGGACCAGUGUGUGGGGGCUGCACAGCUCUUCCUGAAGGCCACAUGGGGAAGCAGCCUGGCUACUGGCUAUCUGGACCUGUAGACACCCUUCCCUUCCUCCAGGGCUUCUAGACACUGCACUGGGCCUCCCUCCCACAUCUUGCCUGGUCCCCACAAUGCCAGCCCCAGCUCUUAGCCUGUGAAGAGCUGGAAGGGGCUUCUUCC